AGCAGCCGCGGUAAUUCCAGCUCCAAUAGCGUAUAUUAAAGUUGUUGCAGUUAAAAGCUGUAGUUGAAUUUUCGGAUUGCACAUGUUGGUGGUCUUCGCUUAGGGUAUGCAUGCUGUUUCGUUGCUUUGACUUUCUGAGCAACCUUCUGGACGAAAUCGUUGCAAUUAGUUUCGUUGUUUCGGGGUUGGGGGUAUAUGGAAUCCUAGUAACCUUUUUAGCAAAAUUUGAAAAAAUUAGGUGAUUGAAUGUUUUCAAAGGCCAGGCCAUUUUUCGCCUUGCAUGAAUCAACAUUUUGGCAAUUGGGGAAAUUAAAUUGAA
Molecule: ribosomal RNA, 319 nt
Filed under: uncultured Glomeromycotina
Lineage: Eukaryota; Fungi; Glomeromycota
Description: partial small subunit ribosomal RNA
Rfam family: Eukaryotic small subunit ribosomal RNA
Source: RNAcentral